This is a long non-coding RNA of Brassica rapa (field mustard), 16953 nucleotides long. RefSeq lists it as uncharacterized. The record is from RefSeq and is a predicted model, not a curated record. NCBI's taxonomy places the organism in Eukaryota, Viridiplantae, Streptophyta, Magnoliopsida, Brassicales, Brassicaceae.
GUAUUCUACGGAUAAAAAAUCAGUUCCUAAAAAUAUGGAAACAAAAUAUUUGAGAAUAUUCACUCUCAUAUUUUUUUAAUUGUUUUUUUUAUAAAAAAAAAAUCAAAAAACAAAAAAAUUAUAACUUUAAGGGCAUUAUUGCCAUUUUAAAAAUAAUUAGCCUAAUAAGACAUAAAGUAUAUGAAAUUAGUUUAAAAAAACAUAGUUAUCAUUUUUUUGCUCUAAAAAAACAAUUUUCCCUUUUUUUUUUUGGCACUCACCCAUAAUACAAUACUUUUAAGAAACUUUAUUUGUGCACAGUCAUACAAAACUAGUACUUCUUCCACUGGCCUUUUUUAUUUUUUUUGGCACUCACCCAUAAUACAAUACUUUUAAGAAACUUUUAUUUGUGCACAGUCAUACAAAAUUUCGCAUGGUAAUUUCCACCUAAUGAAUCCCCUUUAUUCCAGGUUUGAUUCCUCCUUAAUUCUUUUGAUAUUAAUUUUUGAAAUAAUAUUUUAAACUCAGUUAAAAUCAAUGUAUGAUAGACAAACUUAAUAUGGAAAAUUAGAAACUUCUUACACUGACAAGAACGCAGUCAUGAAGCAUGUACCAUAAUAUAGACCAAAAAUAUUAAGUUUAAAAUGUAUAAAACAAUAAAAACGGUCAUGAAAUUUUGGAGGCUAACAUAUGAUAUCUUGAUUAUUUACAUUGUUUUCACUAUUCAUUCUUGUACAUUUUGAUCAUUUAAGAUAACAUUUAGACAUAUCUAGAUUGCUUUUCAUUGCAUACGUCUUUAUCUGGUGAUGAAGAUGUCACAUUGUGACUUUGGAGCACUUGGAGAUAGUUUGGAGGAGUUAUUGGUGAUUUUCAAGAAGAAGACGAGAGGACAAGUGACCCAGCGGCCUCGUGACCUCGCAGCGGCCUUGUAACCUCGACAUGAAGCCGCUGCAACCAAUUCGAGAGUGAAAACCAUGAAGUACAGGAGCGGCCUUGCGCAGCGGUGCGUAGAAGCCGCUGAGAAAAUGCACACGCCCCUGCCCGAUUUCAAGAUGUCGCAGUGGUGACGUGAAGCCGCUGCUGUGUUCCACAGCGGUAUGUCGGAGCCCGCAGCGGCAUGACGAGGACGCAAGAAGGCCGCUGUGACUGUCCAAAAAGUCAACAUUCGAGGAUUGACCAGAUUUUUACACAUUUGUGUUUGGGUCAGCCCAGGUUUGUUAGGUUGACCCAGUUCGAUUUUAAACCACUAUAAACACUUUUUAGAUCUAAUCUUAGGGACUAUCUUGUUUUCUAUCCAAACACAAAACCUAUUUUGGUGAAAUAUUCAAUCUUUAGCUUCUUUUCAUCUUGAUAUCUUGUGUUUGCUUGAUUAUUUUGAUCACUAAUCAUGAUUAACCUUCAAUCAUCAUUGAUUAUUGGGUUCAUCAUGUCUAUUAGUGAGUAGUUACCCUUUGGAUUCAUGGGUUAGGAUGAUUAAAGUGAUUAAGUGAAGAUAGUUAGAUUAAUCUAUUUUCUUGCUUGUUGAGUGAUCUUAAUGCUAGUUUAGUAUUGGCCUCUCUAAACUAGAACUCUAGACAUUUCACACCUGUAAAGGUUUUUGAUCAAAUGUCUGAGCCAACUCAACCUUGCUCUUUGCUUGCUUAACCAAAGACAUUUGAUGUUAGGAAAGCUUUAGAUAGUUAAUGGACAUGUUCUUAAUGAUUGCUUGAAUGACACAAACCAAAGACAUUUUAUGUUUGAUCAAUGAGAGUAAAUGAGCAUUUAUCUUGACAAAUAACUUGUUUAGGAUUGUAGUCUAGACUUAAGGAAAUAUGUUGAUUGAUACGUUGCCAUUCUAGAUUGGAUCUUAGUCAUUUGAAGUUAAAUUCGUAGACCCAUGAUUCCUCCUUUAUCCUAUUGCUUGAAAGUUUGUUAAUUUAUUGUCUUAGAGUCUUGCUAGUUAAACCAUAUCACGUCAUUACACUGAGUGUACUUAGAUUAAGUAUGAACAUGUAUUCUCUUUGGAUUGAAAUCACUUAGAAUUGGAUUAACUAUUAAAUACUAUAUUGAUUUGACUUAGGAUUAGAGAUUAAUCCUUAUCAACAUAAAACAAAAAAGAAUAUUCUAAAUAUUAUAUCAUUUCACAUAGCCUUUUUGGUUAAGCAACUUUGGAGAUUGGAAUAAAACCCAAAUUUCCUACUUACAAAAGUACUCAAAGGAGGUUACUUUCGGGUUUGCACAUUUUCAACGCGCCAAAGGUCUUAAGACCUUCCUACGGUUGGAGAAGUAUUAUGGCAUCAAAGGAGCUAGUCACUAAAGGACUGAGACGUACGAUCGGAACAGAGAACAUACACUUGUGUGGAAAGACCCGUGGAUCCCAGACAAGAAGGCAUGACCGCCUAUCAUGCCACAAGUCUAUUACCCUGACUUAAGAGUCUCUGAUCUCAUUGACCCAGUGAAAAAGGAUUGGGAUAAUAAUAAACUCAAGAGCCUCCUUGAUCCGCACAAGAUUCCAUUAGUGCGCAGGUUACACAUUAGUAGGAAUUCUAUCACAGACGGUUACUGUUGGAAUUUUCCAAUAUUGACUUAACUCAGGAUAUAUUAUUACAAGAGCUAAAAAAAUAGUGAAUUUGAUUUUCAAAAUCAGCUACCAUCCCUUAAUCCUCUGAUAGAAAAAAAAAUCUGAAAACUUAAAACAUGGAAGAAAUUUUGCCACUUCUUAUGGCAAUGUGUGUCUGGAGCAAUAGUUGUUAAUGAAAGACUAUUCAAGAGACACAUUGGAGAUGACCCGAGCUGCCCAAGAUGUAGAUAUGAUGAGGAAUCAAUUAACCACAUGAUCUUGACCUGCCCUCCCGCAAUGCUAUGUUCGCCCUAUCGUUGAUCCCCUCUGAUCCAAGAAUUUUUCCUUCACAAAACCUUUAUACUAAUAUGGACUACCUACUCUCUAGAACCCAUACUGGAGGAGAUAUUGAGAAAGAAACCCGAGUUUUUCGUGAAUUACGGCAUUUAUUCGAGUGAUCCAUAAAUCUCCAAGAUCUUACCUUUUUUUCAAAAAAAAGCCUUAUAUGGUAUAUUUGGAAAGUCAAGAAUGAGAAAUUGUUCAAUGCACAUGAUUUUUCACCUAUGGACACAACAAAAUUGGCAUCACGGGAAUGUAGUGCUUGGCUCAUGCCAACCAAGAAAAGGAUCCAAGAGAAAUGUAGUGCUCCUAUGGACACAACAAAAUUGGCAUCACGGAAAUGUAGUGCUUGGCUCAUUGCCAACCAAGAAGAGGAUCCAAGAGAAACCGUCUCAAAUUUUUACCGGGUAACCACUUAAAGACCCCAACUUUCACAUGCCGCGUGGAUGGCUCAUGGAAACAUGAUGAUGCCACAAGCGAAGUGGGAUGGAUUCUACAUCUACAAGAUGGCUCAAUAGAUUUACUUAGUUUAGAAGUUGGGCAUAAGGAAAUUUUCCCACUACAUAUUGAACUUAAAAGUUUGACAUGGGCUUUAAAAUGUUUAUCUCACCAUCAGCUCUAUUGCAACCACUUUGUCACUGAUUCCCAAUAAUUAGUCAAAAUGAUCGAGACGCCCAAGGAUUGGCCAGCCUUCGUAUCUGAACUUAGCGAACUCAAAACUCUAUGGGAGAUCUACAAUGAUGCCAAAGUGGUCUACGAGGUCAGAUCCAGUAACACUCAUCAAGCGUAUUUCCUUACAAGACAAGCACGAACAAGGAAACAUGUUUUCUCGUAUGUCAGUAUGUCUGUUCCCUACUGGAUGGAUACUACAAAUUUGCCUUUUGCGAAUUUUUUUCUAAGUAUCAUAAAAGCCACAGUUUAUAGUAGGGGAGUUUGAACACAAAAUUUUGUCCCCAACUAUGGCUAUAGUAGACAUCAUUGAAAUGCAUAUAAAAUCUUCAAAAAAAUAUUCUUCAUCGAUAGUAAUGCAUACUCCACCUUAAUCACCAUUACUUGGGAAUAAUCUUCAAAUUCCCUUCAUCCUUUCACAUCAGAUUUAUGUAUUUAUAUGUGGACCACCACUUGCAAAAUUUUCAUCCACUACAAGAAAACAUCUAAAAAUUGGCGGAAAAAGUUGUUAAUUUUUCGUAGAAAAUAGUUAUUUUUUACGAAAGCACCGAUAAUAUUGUCUGUCAGGUUUAUUUAGUCGUAAAAUUAUCAUUGAUAAUUUAUCAGAAAUUCCCAUUGAAAAUAAAGGAAAUUAGUUCUUCAAUUUUUUUAAACAAAAUUUGUAUGAAAAUUUUCUGACAAAACAUUCCAACGGUUUUUCGACAAUUUUAUGUCAGAUUUACAACAAAUGUUUUUGAAAAAUUUCAAGAAAAUUUUUAAUAGUUAAAUAUUUAUCUUAUAUUUAUUUUAUUUAUCAUGGUUCAUGAUGAAGUGUCUAAUUGCAACUUCACCCUCAUGAAUUUCAGUAAUCUAGUGAUACUCAUCAUAUAUUUAUUUAUCCCUUAAAACUAGGUUGCAAGUGUGAAGAAUACAUGGUGUCCAACAGAUGCAAGGAAAUCUACCAUAAGGUAAGGUCUCAAAUCACUUACAAUUGGGUACGUUAUCAUUGAUUACUUGUACAAUAAUUUUCUCAUACAGUUGAUGAAUAACUCCAUUGAUCAAUUUAGCAAUGAAUAAUUUAUCUUUCACUUAACUGAAACAAUUUUCAUCUUUAAGAAAUAUAGGGUCGCUUCCAAAAGUAGCUAUGAAAUUAAUCAUAUUUUUUUCUAGGAUCAAUCGAACCAUCACUCACAAUCGUCACCAUUUAUUCUUUUCUGUCAAUUUAAGUGCCACUAUUUUUUGACAUUGUUUUUUUUUUCUUGCUGCAAUAAAGUAGUCUUUAGCUUAUUAUAAUUUAUAGGUGCAUAACCACCAAUUUUGAUUGGUAGAAACUUAUGGGAUUUGUAACUUGCAAGAUUGUACAAUUCGGUUUUUGUAAAAACAUCUUUACAAUUUCUUGAUUCAAUUGAUCUCUAAGUUAAAUAUCAAUUCUUGUAACGAUGAGUCAAAACGCAAGAUUUUCUUUUCUUAGAAACUGAUUCAUAGGCAAAAAGAGUCUCUCUAUGUGUGGACUCAAAUUUCUUCAUCUCAAAUUCAUUGGUUGACUUUUGCAUUUCAAGCUUUAUAGUCAUUGUUGCCUUUCUACCAAGAGGUGUUUCCAGUUCAGUCAAAAGAAAUGAAUUUUUAUUCUCGAAUAUGAUCCUUGUUGAAUCUCAUUAUAAAGUUGCACUUAAAUUUUCAAGUUCCACUUAAUGAUCUUAGUUUAUGCAAUUUAUAACUCUAUAGUGGAGGUUCUUAUAUUUCACUUGAUGAAUUGGUAGAUCCAUUUCCAGAGCUGCUACCUAUACAAACACUUCCACUCUGAAAAUUCAUGUUUUCUUAAUAUUUAUGAUAUCAUAGAAAUUUAAAAACCGAAGAAAAAAUAAAGAGUGCAAAUAGAUAGAACAAUUGUUAAGCUUUGAGAACCACCAACAUUAAAACAUAAAAUUAAAUAAAUAUGUAUAACAAAUGAUAUCAAUAUCAUGCUUAAAUAUAUUUUUGCUAAUUAUAACUUAUAUGGUAUUAUGCAUGUGUAUUAACUCUGCUGCAAAGAAAAGAAAGCAAAAACAAAAAAAAAACAAAAGUUUCACUUAAGAUUAAAAUAGGCAAGAAAAAAGUUGUUACAAGUUGAUAUAUCAGUUAUCUAAUCUAAUAUACAUAUUUUUGGUCCUUCGAGCAUUCUGUCAACCCCUAGUUUCUAACAAACACUACUCUUAUUUGAAAAUUAAAGUUUUACCAUCAUUUUUAACUUCGUUAAAAAAUUAUCUAGAGAACUUGCUCAUCCAUGAGAUAUGGCCACCAAAGUCCACAACUCUUACCCUUCUUCAUGGUUCUCCUCCAACUGAUUUCAGCCGAAGUAUUUCCUACUAUCUGCUCUAUUGCAACGUCAAAGAUGAAUAUACCCUUCUAUCGAAAUUGAUUUGGAAACUAAUAACCUUAAUCGUACUUUUUAACACUUCUACUCAUUUUCUUAACAGAACACCUAAAGAAUGCAUGACUACCACGGGUUAUAUGCAUGUGUCAAGUAAGUUAUAUGUUUUCAUUUCAUUUGUCGAUUAAACCUUGAAUAACCAAGAAAUUAAAUGACGCACAUGUUCUUUAUCUUGCAUUCUCCUGACAAGGAAAACACAUAGUACAUCUGAUGAAAAUCAGACAACGGCUUUGAGCGUUACAAGACACUUCUCAAAUGAAUUUCCAUGUAAACACUUCGUCAACAUAUCCGCUGGAUUUAUAGUAGUAUGGAUCUUUUGGAUUUUGACUUGACCUUCAUCAACAAGGUCAACAAACCAAAUGAAUCUUAGUUGCCAUAUGUUAAUUUUGGUCAUUAUGAACCAAGUUCUUAGCUAGUAAAAACAGCACUAUGUGAAUCAUUGUGAAACCUGUAAACUUCGAGUUAAAACUCAAUUUACUCUAAUGUUAACAUCAAUCUUCGUACUAGUUUCUCCAUCCAAACAAACCAGCAACUUACAUUAACCUAAUAGUGUCCAUGUUUUCUAUAUUAUCUGUCGGAGUCUUCAACCCUUAGCAUAUCAUUUUCGCCAGCCAACAUUUAAAUACAUUCAAGCAAUUUAUAAAAUGUUAUGAUACCAACUAGUAUUUAAUACCAAAAUGUAAUAUUUGUACUCACUUGUAUCAAUUUUGUUGGCAAAAACUAGCUUAUUAGAUUUAUGACUUGAAAGAUUGCAUGACUCACAUAUUGUAAAAACUUUCUUGCAAUUUCUUGAUUCAAUUGAUCUCUAACUUGAUUCAGCUUAGGUUUUUUCAUCUCAACUUUGUUGUUCAACUUUUGCAAUUAAAGCUUUGCAGUCAUUGUUGCCUUUCUACAAUGAGAUGUUUCAUACCUUUUAUUCCAAAUAAAUGUGUUUAAUUUUGGAAUAUGAUGCUUAUUGAAUCUCAUUACAAAAACUACACUUAAAUUUUGAAGUUCUUCUUUUUGGUCAUAGUUUCUGCAAUUUAUUUACAUAAUUUCUUUGUGGAGAUUCUUAAGUUUCACUUGAUGAAUUGAUACAUCCAUGACCAAAACUACUACCAAUACUAUAGUUUCACUCUAGAAUUCAUUUUUUAAACUUUAAGAUAUCAUUACAAUUUUGAAAAACUGAAGAAUAAAUAAAGAGUGAAAGUCGAUAAAACAACUGAUUAGAUUUGGAGUCUUUCAAUACAAUAGUAAUCCUUGAUGCUUAAAGGGAUUACAUGGCCAUGAAUGCAUAAUAUUCUUUGAAUGAGGAAAAUUCAAUGAAUGAGGGAGAACCAGAAAUGUAAAAACCAGAACAAAGUGACACACAAGCAGCUUAAACAACUCAAGCGACACAACCACUUGCCACUGAGUCGGCAUUUAGCAUUGGAGGUAGAGCUGUGACUCCAUACCGAAACUGGCUUCUUCCAUAAAAUGUUCAAGCUUUGCUUUGCGCUCGUAAUUGGCUUUGAGAAUUUCCAAAAUUUGAAGGUAGUUUUAAAAAUUUACAAAGAUACUGAUGACAUUGGCAUUGAAGAAGUUAGGAAAACACCAAGUAGCUCAAGAGUAGAAAAUUCAAGAUCAGGAGAUUCAAACAUGCAGUGAAAAUGAGUAUGAGCGUCGCAGUGAGAAUGAGUAUGAGCGUCACAGUGAAAAUGCAACUUUGAUUGUUAAUUAUUUGUUUAUUUGAAGUGAGUUUGAUUGAGAUUAGUUUGUGUUGGCCUUGACUGUUACAAGUAAAUGGUAGAGUGAAAGGGCUAAAGUAAUUACAUAGGAGAAUAGUAGUUACUUGGUUCUUUAAGUGAGUUGGAUUGAGAUUUGUUUGUGUUUGUGGCCUUAACUUUUAGUAGAAAAUGAGAAUUUAUGAUGUGUUCAUAAUUGUCAGUAUUACAAUGGUGUAAUGUAUCACAUUUAGCUCUUCGUGUGUUCAAUCCCUUUCUUUUCUUUGCAGAGCAAUGUAGAUGGAGAAGGGGUCGUUGGUUUGAGAUUAGGAGAAGAUGAUGAAGUUGGUUUCUAUCUUGUUUCUCUAUGAUUUGUAGUUUUGUUAUUUCAGACAAAAACCUGAUGGCAAAAUUGUUUUGUUGUCUUUCAAUUUAUGAGUUUCAGAUAUUAUGUAAUUUUAGAUUAUAAAUAUGUUUUGGAUACACAAACCCGGUUCAUUAUAUACUGAGCAACUGAAAUAAUUAAAAUUGCAUUUAAAAGCAGAACUAACGUACAUGUUGAAAUAUGAGACCUUCAUUUAGAUAAAAGUCAUAAACGGGCCUAACAGACCUAAACGGGUAUUACAAAAAUAAACGGAUUGGACAUCAAAAGGGUUUAAAGAGGUAAAUGUAUAAACGAGUUUGAAAUUAAACGGGCUUAAACUGGCAGGACUUAAACGGGCCCAUAUGGCCCAUAUUAACAUCCCUAAAUAGAAGACUUGAAAAUUGAGCAUCAAAUGAGCAUUGGAGAAAUCCAUUAAAAAAACAUGUAGUCAAAAUUUCAAAGUAGAAUUUCUUAUGAACCAAAAUAAUGGAGAUUAAGCUAAACUUGUUAUACGUUCUAGCUGGGCUGUAUGAGGAGUGGAGAUGUAAGGUUAGCCAAAUUUAUAGUCGCGGCUGCAUUUGCAUCUAAACGAUCACAACUUGUUUUGUAUUUAUCACAUUGCAUUGUAUCAAACCUUGUUUAUCCUUGGUGAUCCAAAAGCUUUUAUCAUCUUUUGUAAUGAUCGCAACGCUCUUAUGCAGAUUCGAAAUAAGAUCAAGUUUUUCUAAACUCACUUAUUGUCUUUACAUAUUUUCCGCAUUUAUUUGGUCAUUUUCCGUCGGCUCUCGAAGAGAAUCUGGGAUCUCUGGGAAAGUUAGGGUUUCUUGACUUUUCUUAUUUUAACGGAAAUCGACAAUGCAAAUUUUGGUUCCCACAGUUUGGCGCUAGAAGGAGGGGGGGGGGGGGGGUACAGAUAACUCUACCUCAUAGCUGCAAAACGCUUGAUCAAAACGAUGUCUGGAAAUACAAAAGACAAAAUCGCACUUCGCAACAAUUCUGGUAAAACAACUACAGCAGCCACUGCGCCUAUGGGCAACGCUUACGCAAACGCCACAGUUCUUGAGAAAAUCGAAAACCUAGUCGCGACUUUUCGCCACAGGAAGAGCAACGAAAAAGCUCGCGAUUUCUCUGUCAAAACAUAAAGAAAAACGAUAAAUUUUAUCAAACCCCGUAAGAUUUGGCUCAUUACCGAGUUAAAGAAGUCUCAACACGUAAGGAUUUUACCAAAAGACAUUUUCCAAAAACUUUUCGAAAAAAUAAAACUUGCUCUCCCCAAAACCGCAGAAAAAUCUUAGGUUAAUCGCAGAAAAAGGAAGCAUAGGAAAUCGGGUAUAUAACUCAUUGCUGUACUUCUUCCGAAUAUUUUACGGAAAAACCCUAGGUUAAUCGUGGAAAAAGGAAGCGCAACAAAUCGGUUACGACUUCCCCACGGUUGUACUUCUUCCAAAUAACUUUCGGAGAAACGAAGUUGAUUUCCAUAGAAUCACUCGAAACCUAAAACGGCUGACGAAGACUAAAUAAAGUAAAACGGGAGAUUGUAUCCCCACCGCUAAAACGUUUUCUGAAACCUAAGAUUCCGUAAAAAUUCAAGUAUCACUUCUAUAGUAAAAAAUUCCACGAGUUGUCGAUGUUUGUAACAUAUAUCUUACUUCGGAAAAAAAACUACUCGAAACUUCCACGGAUCUAUCCCACGGAUAAGAGAAAAACUUAUGAUUAAGUUUGGUUGCAAUGAUAAACCUCUUCACGGCUCUCGUACAGCAAAAACUUGAAAUUUCUUACCAAACAAAUCUCGUAAAAAUUAUGCUCGACAACAUCUUGCGAAAUAACCUUUGCAAAAAUUAAGCUCGACAAUUUUACGAAACAAUUUUUGUAAAAUUAAAAUCAAUUACAUUUUCAGAAUAAAUUUCAGAAUUAAACUCGAUAUUAUUUUUCGGAAAAACUUUUGUAAAAUUAAAGUUGGCAACAUUUGACGAAGCAGCUUUCGUACAAUUAAACUCAACAUUAUUUUACGAGACAUUAUUCGUAGAGUUAAACAUGGUUGUAUUUUAUGAUACAAUUUUCGUAGAAUAAGUUUGACAACGUUUACGAAACGACUCUCGUAAAUAAAACUCAAAACUAUUCGACAACCUUCGGAAAUCUAACAACGAUUGUAGAAAAAGACUCUCGGAUAGGGAAAGAGAUGGAGGAAAUCCGAAAAUCAAAAUUCGCCCAUCUGCCUCUCUCCACGGGCUCGCCAUCGUUCCUCUCUUGCCUUAAUCUAUCGCCAAAACCUCAUCUCCCGGCGAGUCUUCCUGAUCAUCCUCGGCAUCUGUUGAUCGUCCCUGGCUAUUCAUACACGCUAAAAAGGUUUUGACGAGAGGCUUAUUAUUUUUCGUAAAUCCAAUUAUACUAAGACUGAAACAAGGAUCACGAAAACCGCAAGACUGGCAUCAGCCUUAACGCGGCCAGGAAAGCAGAGAAAUCCAGGAAGAAUCAAUAGUCUUGCUAUUCGAAAUGGCCAGACAGACACGAAAAGAGUAAGGGCAAAUGAGCAAGCAAAACGGAGAAGAGGCAAAGCCGAAUCAUAAAAACUAGGUGGACAGUCAAGCGAACUAAGUCUUAGGCGAUUUUUUCUGUCACGAUAUAUUGUUGCAUAACUGUUCAACCAGAUCUUGCAAACCUAUCUAAACUCUCUGAAAAUCGAGAAACAAUCGCCACACAUAUCCAGCUCGCUUCCUAAAGAUAGAAAGAACUAGAGACAUGAACGUCGUCUUAAAACCGAUUCGUAUCUACCGAUUUUCUUAAAACCGACAUAUUCCAAGUCGUCAACCUGAAAAUAACCAAAUCACAGUCCCAGCGUCAUCUUUAAAUCGACCAGAUUGUUGAUCAUUCCAAUCCUCGGAAGAAGAAACGUACACAACCCUUCAAAGUAUCGGUUCUACCGUUUUCUUUCGUAAAAUACAGGGGGAGAGUAGGUAUGUAUACUAUACUCAUGAGAACGUCUUUAAAAACUAUACUCAAUUAUCGGUUCAACCGUCUUCAAAAACUUUUGCCUCGUCAUCAAGAAAACGCAUUCGUCAAAGGAAACUCUCGCACCAAUAGGCAAUACAAUGUCUCACAAAAAUCGUCCCAAAAAAGCAAAGGACAAUCUGAAAUUCGUCUAAACGCUAGCAACAUAUCCAGACGAUCAUGAACAUAAUCUCAAAGACUAUACAACAUUUCUCAUCGCAAUCAUACAUAUCGAAAAACUUUUACUAAUGUCAAACUGAAAAUCGACGAUUAGCCAAAGUCUUGAAGCCUUUUUCGGCUUUAUAAAGCCAAUUUCAGCUUUAUAAAGCCAAUUUCGUAUGAAAAAUUUUACGAGAAAUCUUCAAGCAUCAAAGCAUUUCUUUCAGUUUCCAUUGAGAAAAGUGAGUCAUGGAAAAGCAUCAAAAACAUUUGCAACGAAGAAAACUCGAGAAUAAAAGUAGCAGCAAGCACAUUAAAGGGAAUACUUUCUUCCUGAUCGUUGGCUAGAUCUACCGCUGGUUGACCAAUUCGUUUCAGAAACGAAUAUGUCAUGAGUAUCCUCUCAAAUGGCUAUCAAAAACGUUCUGCGACUAGAUCGUGGCGAAAUAAACUUUGGUAACACUCCGUGAGUAACUCCAAGCAACUUUCACCAAAGAUCGAAAUGAAAGCAGAAACGCUUCUCGUAAAUCCCGCAGAAACAACGCUACUUUGACAUAUGCAUACAUAUCACCGAUUUACAACCUUCGUAAAACCGGUCGCCCAUUACUUACGCGAAAAAUCCUUCGUACAAUCAGAUCAAGUCAUACGAAAAAAACUUUCAAAAGUAAACGUAACAGGUCUUACGAAGAAGUAUUUUUUGUAUAGCAAAUACAAAGCCGUGAGAUCUGACUUCGGAUGAUCAAUCUAAAGAGAGAUCUCUUUGCAUUACGAUAUAAUAGAUCUCUUUUUUUAGCCCUGCGGCUCGCUGGCUUCUACCUUUUGUUCUCGUCGGUCACAUCCGGCAGGAAAUCAUCCCGCAAUUACUCCGCACUGGUUCUGUAUCAAACCUUGUAGGCUUCAUCUUCCUCAGACAAAAAUGAAUCAAUUUUCAUAAGACUAUAGGUAACAUUAUACGAAACAUUCAUCGUAUAACUCAAACCUAAAGCGGAGAAUCGUUUUCUACGACUAUCAGCCAUCUUAACACGGAUAACCCCGACAAACUUGGCCUAUCAAUCUCAACAAGCGCUCUUUAGCCCUCGGUCAAUUAUGCCUUCCAGUAAAAGCCUGAACCAAAAUUUGGCAUCCCUUUUAAGGACAAUCGUAAACUAACAUGACCUUAAUGUUAACACGAAAGCACCAUGGUCUAAUCCUUCACCUACAACGUCCUUGCCUAUCUGAGUGAACACAUCCUACAUGCCAGGCCAAAACAUUUGAGCAACCAUCGCUCCGUGACUUAACGGUUAGAUGACAAUCUGCGAUUUGUCUAAAAACGUCAUGUAUUAAGAAAAUAAUUAUUGUAUAACCCAUAGUCGGAAAUUAUAUGAUAAAUUCUUCCUUACAAAACUCAGUCCUAACAACCAAACGGUUAACGGAAAACUUAAACUUGUCGACAAUCAACCAAGUUCAAUACGUUUCACGAUUAACUUUAAAGCCCGCUAUGUUUUACCCAUAAAAUGCGGCAUAUAAGGAAAACUCGUAACAGAGCUCCUAGAGCUAUACGAAACAUCCUCAAAUAUGCACUAAGAAGGAAAACGCUUCUUCACAGGGACAAAUUUACGCGACCCCUCGGUUCUAAUUCCUCGAUCGCAAAUCAAAUUAUUAACAUCCAAACAUGAACAACAAUUUUGGCUACGAACAUCCGUAGACAAACCAAAAUGUUUCUUAAACGCAGGGUUAAGACUAAACCCUUGCAAUAUCGCAAAACAUCUUCAGGCCCGCGAACAUUUCAAGCACGAAAUGUGGCAUACGAAAUAAAAAUCUAUCUUCAGCAUUGCGAGACGUCGCAGACGCCUGAAGAACAAUUUUUUUCGACAAAAUUACCUUCCUCAAUAAAGACACCUUAUUGGAAGACCAAACUGUCAUACAUACUAACAACUUCUGAAACAUGUAUUUUUCGCGAAGACUCAAAAACGGUAAUAUCUACCGAUAAGUUUGUUGCUGAUCACAACAAACUCUUAACGUCCUAAACAGACGAAGCCAUCUCGUAGAGAUAUCUCUCGUACACCCGACACAAUGGUAAUACCGCUAUAUAAAAAAUCCGAAAUUCUGGUAAGCACUUUUGGGAGACUUAAAAAUUGUCUUCGAAGAUAUGCUCAAAUCCUACCAUACAAGUCACGUAAGCCGAGAAGAUAUCGCGGACUUUAAAGCGGAACGGAAUCAGGUCGAAAACGAUACGGGAAACGUAAGUCUAAGUAGUCAUCGCACCCCCUAAAGCCGUGAUUAGACCUAAGUCUUGUCCUAAACCCAACACACUGGUCUCUAACAUCUCUAGGCAUAGUAUCAAACACCAUGAUACAAGAUCCCAAAAUUUGUCUCUUGGCCAAUAUUCGAGCGUCUACAGAACUCCCGCAAGUUUACGCACUGCUAAAACUCUCGAAACAGAUCACAGAUAUAACAGUUCACACAGAGUUAGAUUACGAGAUGACAACUCGUAAUCUUCCCUCUACACCCAUAUAUAUGCUCGAUUACCUCUACACGACACAUAACUAGACCAUAAAGGUCUGACCGGAACACAGGUUGUAAGAAUCUCAACUCCAGGACGAACUACGAAACGCAUGAUCCCUUCGACAAGGGUACGUAUGCAGCCUUCACAAAGCGCAACCCUAAUCUUAUUGCACUCCACUUUUAGUAGAGUGAAAAGACCACUUCCAACCAUUAACUCCGCCUAACUUACCCGACAUGCCUAAUUCGGUCGCAAGAACACCACGAUUCUAACGAGCUGGGGGGCUAACUGUUGGGAUCAAAAUUGGUCACGAUGGAAUCAAUGUCAGAAAACUUCCCGGAAAAUGUCCUCUUUGAAAAAGAGAGAUAAAAUUCAAAAGAAAAGAGAAGUAGAAAAAACUAAAUCGAGUUUCGUAACAACUCCGAAAAGGAUUCACACGAUAAGCCUUCGAGAAAGGUUACUCAAGGCCUCAGACAAACAGAUCACGAACAGCAAAACAAUCAUCGUCCAACUCGUUGAAGGGGCGAGUUGGACCGAACGCACCGUCCAAUCGCCCGUUCGGUAAGUUGGACCAGCGAGUUGGAUCGAGCAAGCCGUCCAACUCGCCGAACAGACGUGUUCGUUCGAGCAAGUCGUCCAACUCGCCGAACGGGCGAGUUGGAUCGAACAAGUCGUCCAACUCUCCCGUUCGGCGAGCCAGAUCAACUAGCCUGCCUUCGUCCCCUCCUCGUAGCUCCCUCCUUUGGGAUUGGAUUAAACAUCCUCUUGUUUCGUCUUGAUCAGAGUCAUCGUUGGAACUUACGAUUUAAAAACCGUAAGAACUCGUUUUCUCGUAAGAAGUUUAAAUUGAUAGUAUAAAACGGCAACGGUUAACUAAACACCUUAAACCUCCUCCAAUAUACGGGAAAAUUUGAACUUACUUCGGAAUCGACGUCGUUUCGGAAGCGCUAUUUAGAUAAAUCGUAAAAACGCUUAAGUCGGGCAACAGCCCGAAAGGGUCCAGAACGCGGCUAAAACCCCACUCACGAUUUUAUACUAAAUCAAGCCCAAUCGUUAUGACAGUUUAUCUUUUAUUCUGCAGGGGAAGAUACAUGUCAAGUUCAGAGGAUAAAUGUGAAGUUUCCAAAGAUAAACAUGAAGAUCGAAGAAAAAUAGAAUAUUUCUGUGAAGCGAUUAACUCGACCGAGGCCAGAAAGGGAAAGAGAAAACGGCCUCUAGGAGGAGUAUAUAAGGACGUCGAGGUUGAAGAGGCACACCAACAAUUUUUUCCCUCUCAGAACUCUCUGCACUUAGAAACUUUUAGGCAUUAUUCUCGACAUGUUCUGUUUCUAUGACUGGCACUCGAUUACUAGACGAACUCGCCCAGGCAGUUCGAUCUCUUGUUCUACUCUUUCAAUCGAACUAAGUUCGGCUUGAUCCUCGAAAGGGGUAUGUAGGCAGCCUUUCAUAAGGUUCAGUUCGAAAUCAAAUUAAAACCUUUUUCGUAUCUUUUUUCAUCUUUUCUUAUCGACAUGCGACUCAACUAGGUAUAAAAUUUUAGGUUGCUAGAACUAUGUAACUCGCUGACAUCUCUUGUGGCCAAAGCUUUUAUCAUCUUUUGUAAUGAUCGCAACGCUCUUACGCGGAUUCGAAAUAAGAUCAACUUUUUCUAAACUCGUUUAUUUUUUUUACAUAUUUUUUACAUUUAUUUGGUCACUUGCAGUUGGCUCUCGCAGAAAGUUAGGGUUUUUUGACAUUUCUUAUUUUGAUCCCACAGUGCUUUGAUCCGUUCAGUGUGGGAACCUGAAGAGGACUCAUUGUAUUUUGUCUUCAGUUUGAUCGAUUUCUAUGUUUUUAUUGGCGGUGGUAACUCGUGAGUAGCAAAAAACGCUACCAAUCUUUCGCUACUUGCACGUGCAAUGACACCUUACUUAUCUAGCCAUUCAAGGAUACUCUUCAUCAAAGUUGCCAACUCGGCAUGAUCAUCAUGUGAUGCUGGUAGUGGCAUGCUAUCUUCUAGACAUGGGGCCGCCAUUUCCGUCCUCGUUGUUCUUCGUCAUUGCAAAUUGUACGAAGUAAAUAUUUCUUCUAUAUCAAUUCAAUAAGUUGAAAAUUCAAUAGUGGGUUUUGAAAGAUUUUUUAUUAACUGUAAGACUCGACGAGUACAUUAAAGUUGGCCUAAAUAUUAGGUCGUCGGUAGAUGAUCUUAAGUUACGAAAACGAUUAAAACUAACUUGCUACUGAAAAUGCUAGAUCUUUCACUUUUUGUAUUUGAUGUGAUGUAUAUAUCCUUUUUGUCAAAGUUAUGUGUAUAUCCAUUUUCAUUAAUUUAUAUGUUGCAUUUAUACUAGGGUAUGCUGGCAGAGUUUUUUUCUUUUACUAAUCAGAUUUUUUCCUUUUACUUCAGUUUCGGUGGCUGGUUGGUGCUUGGCUUGGGGUCUUCCAAUGGCAUUAUUACUAAGGAAUGCAGUCUCUUUUCAAUGGUUUCAUCGCCUCUCAUCGCAGUCACUGUAGGGUUUGUCUGGUCGCUUCAUGUACCGGUUCCUCGACCCUCAUCACCACCUCAUGCUUCCUUCAUCUUCCAACAACCCAGUAUCUCUAAGAUUUUCACUUAUUGACUGGUCUUGUGUUGAUUGUUUUGGAGUGUUCUCUUGGACUCUCUUGUGGUCUGUCUAUCCCUUAGUGCGACCAUUUACUACAGUAUGUUGUCUCUUUACAACGUUACGAAGUUAUACCUUUGUUCAAGUACUUUUGUGUUUUGUUGCGGCAGCUUGAUGAAGUUAUGCAAGACAUUUCAAAGUUUUGCUUAUCGAUAUUUUCUGUCUGUUUUCCUCCUCUAUGGAAUUUGUUCCUCUUCAUUCAUCACCUACUUUAAGUUGUUUUGUUUCAAGAAGUAAAACGUCUAAUAUUAGAGAUAUUUCAGUUAUUGAAGUUCUAAUCAAAGGCUUAUGAAAAUGGUGUUCAAUCGCCUAUAUGUGUGUAGCCAUUUCAAGGAUUGUUAAUUGUGCAUUUGCUGCUGUUUCAGUCUCAAGAAUUAUAUCAUUAAGUCUGAUCUUUAAUUCGCAAGACUUCCUUGCACUUUUUAGCUUGGUUGUUGAGACUAGAGGACCUCUCCACACAAUUAGUUGUUUAAUUGUUUUGUAUGCCUUUAUCAUUUUUUGCUUUACUGUAAUUGUUAUUUGUUUAGUGAGGAUGACUUUGUUAUCAUGUUAUUUAAACACUUUCUCCUUUAAUGGAGUAAGAAUCUACAAAACUGAGGUUUGUCCAAAAAAAAAAAGUAGCAUUGAUUUUAGAAAGAGAAAAAGACUAGGAUAGCACCAAACCAAGUUUUUGUUCCCAAAGUAGCACUCAAAGCUCAAAGUCACAAAAAUAUGUUUCAUUAAA